CCUUGGCUGUCCCCGCUAUGGAAAGCCCCCAUCCCUUUAAAGAUUAAGAUCUUUGUUUGGCAAUUACUACGGGAUCGCCUCCCCUCAGGGACAGAGGUACUUAAGCGGCACGGACCUGGUGAUGGUCUAUGCCCUCUCUGUGCGGUACCAGAGACCGGGACACAUAUCCUCUUCUCAUGUACCGUCGCGAGGGUACUUUGGACGUAUGUCCGCGAGGCGUUGGGGCCUGAAUGGGAGGCCCUAAAUCUCGUUGAGUUCCUCCAACUUAGAGCUUUACAAUCGUCACAUCAUCGCCGCCUAUUUUGGCUUAUUUUUGCGGCGAUGACGUGGACUCUUUGGACGACUAGGAAUAAGAUGGUGAUAGAGAAGGUUUUCCCGAGGAAGGCGUCUAACUCCCUCUUCAAAUUCCUUGCUUUCCUGCAGCAUUGGCACCCGCUCUCGAGGCAGCGUGAUCGCGACCGACUUGGAUUGAUGAUGGAUGCGCUUCUGGUUUCGGCGCGUCGACUAUCUUCCUCGUAG
This 519-nucleotide ribosomal RNA is filed under the name Triticum aestivum (bread wheat). Its description in RNAcentral is "partial small subunit ribosomal RNA". Lineage: Eukaryota; Viridiplantae; Streptophyta; Magnoliopsida; Poales; Poaceae. The record is from RNAcentral.